Molecule: unclassified non-coding RNA, 991 nt
Filed under: Drosophila ananassae
Lineage: Eukaryota; Metazoa; Arthropoda; Insecta; Diptera; Drosophilidae
Description: GF27819
Source: RNAcentral
UUGCUACUUAAUUCGUAUCAGUCACAGUUUGAUCCCCAAAACCGUCAGACCAUUCGAAGCGUCUGACUGAAGCCCAACAAUGGUUAAUAUUACCAAUGGACUACUAAUGCUACUAAGUUUUGUACAACACCAAAGACUUCCCCGCGACACCCAACGACAAACUGAAUGAGGCGCGCAGUUUAAAUGAAGCUGCUCAAUUAAGUUAUCAUCAAUCCGUUAGUCCGCUAGUUGGGUGGUGUAACGUGGCCAUCAACAAUUUUGGUAUUCUCAUUCCCCACAUCAAAGAUGGAAGUCUUUCAAAUCAGAACAAGGACUUCAUAUUCCUUUUAAUUGACAAUACGCUACACGAGGGUCUAGAAAAAACUGCUCAAUCCAUAGUCUUACUAAAUGAUGUUCAACGUAAAUCGUCCAGAGUGGUCAACUUAUUUUAUAGCAUUAAGCACGACGUGUACAACGAUUAUGGAAAACAAAAAGUAAAUCUCGAUGCACAAAUGCAAGAUUUGAAAGAGACCCAGAGUACAUAUAAUACAUUAUCAUACAUUCCAAUUGUUAAUGUUUUCAGUUAUAUUGCUGAUAAAGCUGGGCGCAAUGAAGAGAAGAGACAUCUAUUGAGAGAAAACAUAUUAAAUAUUGAAAACAAACUUAAGCGUAUCAUAGAAAAUAUUAUGGUCGCUACAGAAAUAUCAAAAACAGGCGUGAACCCAAAUUUGGAAAGGGAUGAUACAAAUUUAAGUAGCCUCAGGGGAAAAACUUAUGGUGCGGACAAUACUAAAAAUUUCUUGAAGCUCGACUUUCUACCACUUCGGACUCGUUAUGCUGAUAUCCUACAGGAAUUGACAAAUCAGUGUCGUGAUUAUAAUCUUUGGCAUGAAUCUCGAAAUUAAGAUGAUAGGGUGUCGUCUGGAAGUAAACACUAUUAUGUUCAAACUGUACGAUUAUUGGCUUCGAGUUUCGCGAAUAAAAAUGUUUUUUUCAUUGUUCUAAACGUUCA